GACGAACGCUGGCGGCGUGCUUAACACAUGCAAGUCGAACGGAAAGGCCCUGCUUGCAGGGUCCUCGAGUGGCGAACGGGUGAGUAACACGUGGGUGAUCUGCCCUGCACUUCGGGAUAAGCCUGGGAAACUGGGUCUAAUACCGGAUAGGAGCCAUUUUUAGUGUGAUGGUUGGAAAGUUUUUUCGGUGUAGGAUGAGCUCGCGGCCUAUCAGCUUGUUGGUGGGGUAAUGGCCUACCAAGGCGGCGACGGGUAGCCGGCCUGAGAGGGUGGACGGCCACAUUGGGACUGAGAUACGGCCCAGACUCCUACGGGAGGCAGCAGUGGGGAAUAUUGCACAAUGGGCGCAAGCCUGAUGCAGCGACGCCGCGUGGGGGAUGACGGCCUUCGGGUUGUAAACUCCGUUCGUUAGGGACGAAGCUUUUUGUGACGGUACCUAGAUAAGAAGCACCGGCUAACUACGUG
RNAcentral lists this ribosomal RNA (465 nucleotides) under uncultured bacterium. RNAcentral describes it as "partial 16S ribosomal RNA". It matches the Rfam family "Bacterial small subunit ribosomal RNA", at positions 28 to 507 of the family's 1533-position model. The record is from RNAcentral.